Molecule: long non-coding RNA, 1683 nt
Organism: Hippocampus zosterae (dwarf seahorse)
Lineage: Eukaryota; Metazoa; Chordata; Actinopteri; Syngnathiformes; Syngnathidae
Exons: 2
Source: RefSeq, a predicted model, not a curated record
GACACCCACACAUGGAACUGUUUACUUUCUCCAACCCCAUUGUCAAGCAUCACGAAAAAGCGCUUUGAGCAGCACAGGCGACUGUUCGCUCCUUUUGAGUAUUUUCAAAGAUAGUGUUAAAUAAUGGUUUAAGAGUUUUUCCAUGAAAUAAAUUUGCAACAAAAACAACAUUUUCAAGAUGAUAUAUUUUUCAAUGGCGGCCCGGUGGUCGAGUGGUUAACGCGUCAGCCUUGCUCUCGAAAUGAUUAUCAAACGAGUUGUCGAUGAUUUGAUUCAUUGUUAAAUGGGCUGUCACUUAUACACAGUCGGUACUCAAAGCGCUUUACACCGUUUCGUCAUUUAGUACUUUCUGAUGACGCAGCAUCAGGAGCAACUGAGGCUUGAGUAUCUUGCUCAAGCACACUUUGACAAGAUCGCAACAGCCGGCGAUUGAACACGUCCACUCUACCAUUGAGCCAUAGCGCCUCUAGACAACGUUGCUGUAAUGGUUGGGCGGAGCCUCUUGUGUACACCUUGCAUGCCUUGACAUCGGCUGGGCAAUUAAACUCGGGAGUUUCUGGGAAUAGAUGCCCGGCUAUUAUUCUACUCACCACCAGUUCCCUUGUUCCUGUUUUUCUAGUUGUGUAAUAAUCUGGUCGUUAUCUUCGUGGCUUCUCGGCCGUGUGUAAGUAGUUUAUUUUUGUGUUGUUCCUUGUGCAAUUGUUUCUUCAGCCUGUCCUGGGGGUGUGCUAACUUGUGUCGGUUAACUUGCGUUCUUUUCUGUUUGUUUGUAGUACCCAAGGCUGGAUUGGCCAUCGAGCAUAGCAGGUAGACGCCCCGUGUGCAGCCGUCUUCAGGCGCUGUUACAUUUUUUUUGAUAGUUUUCCCCAAGAGCACAGCCCACACACCAGAGAAAGCAGUUAAGCCAUUGACAAAAUGAACAGUAAAUUGAAUUAAUUAAAACCAUUGGGGGCGGCCCGGUUGUCCAGUGGUUAGCACGUCGACCUCACAGUGCAGAGGUACCGGGUUCAAUUCUAGCUCUGGCCUCCCAGUGUGGAGUUUGCAUGUUCUCCCUGGGCCUGCGUGGGUUUUCUCUGGGUACUCAGGUUUCCUCCCAUAUUCCAAAAACACGCGUGGCAGGUUAAUGGGACACUCUAAAUUGUCUCAAGGUGUGAAUGUGAGCGUAGACGGUUGUUCGUCUCUGUGUGCCCUGCGAUUGGCUGGCACCCGGUUCAGGGUGCCCCCCCCCCCGCCUCCUGCCCGAAGCACACUUUACAGCAAAAAGUGAUAGCAGUGAUCGUUAUCAAAAUGCAUUGCUUUCGACAAAAAGCAAAUAAAGGCCAAAAAAAAGUGUAUUGAAGUUACAUGUGCGGACAUGGGAGGGAAAGGAGGAGGCAGGGUGUUGAAAAGGUUGGAUGGAACCGCAUCCAAACAUGGUCACAUCUGCUUGAAAGAUUUUCCCAAACGUUCACACGUGGACACACGUGCGCACACAAAGGAGAGUCUAUGAGAUGGGGCCAGUCACCAGGACAUCCUGUUUGAGAGUCAUUGCUCACCCGCAACUCACCCUCGCCCUCCACCCACAGUGCUAAAGAGACAGUGCAGCUGUCACCACCUGAAUUAGACGGGAUGACAAGGCCUUGGUUCUCUCAUCUGGCUCUUCAGGAAAGCACUGUUUUAUUCCACUUCCCAGAAGUGCCAGAA